Molecule: long non-coding RNA, 986 nt
Organism: Aquila chrysaetos chrysaetos
Lineage: Eukaryota; Metazoa; Chordata; Aves; Accipitriformes; Accipitridae
Exons: 5
Source: RefSeq, a predicted model, not a curated record
CUGGUCUUUUCCUCGGCGCGCGCGGAGGCUGUUAGGCGACGGUUGGGGGCGCGGGGCCGGCAGGCGCGCGCGGUGGGGCUCGGGUGAGCCCGCCCGUCGCCGGACCGAGGACUUGCCCGCCGGGGCGCGGGGAAGGGGCCGAGGCGCCUUAACGGUCCAGAGCUUGUCGGGUCUCUGCUGGCGGCGGCCGACCGGGUCAGGGUGCUCGCUGAAGAGAUGAAAGCAGUGGAAGUCUGUCAAUGGCCAGAGCAGGCACCAGCAUGACCACAAGAUGUCCCAAGAGCAUGGCAGCUCUCACCUUGGGGACUGUGGGGCCUGUUCCUACCAGAAUGCUUAACUCUACGAACAGUUCUUACAGAGUUGUAGUGUGUUUUGCUGAAAGUUCAGAAGCUCACAGAGAUAGCCUGAUGUGGUGAAAGCCUCUAAGCAUUAGAAGGGCAUGUAGGAAAAAGUUGCAAAGUACUGAUUGCCCAGCUGUCCUGCAACCUCCUUCAUUAGGAAAGAAUGUAACAGAAAUCUUCUGUGAAGUGAUGAAAUUCCUUCAAGUUCAUCACAAUGCCCUUGAAAAUACUAGAAUCAGAAAGGUUCAGGCAUUGAAAUGUGAAAAUCCGCUUGAGCAACAUGAAAAACACAGAUGCACUUAUUGCUUUACCAGUGCUGUUGACAGAAAAUGAACUAGUGAAAUCCAUCCCAGACCUUCAGCACCAUAGUCACUGGGGUUUUUUGCAAGGCUGAAGAGAAGGAUGGGCACUCUUUUUUAUGAACCUGCCAGACACUGGGAAGAGAAAUGUAUGUGUAAUCCACUGAAGAAUUGUUAUAACGAGCCUGAGACCAGUGGGAAUCUCUGCAGGACCACUCCAUAAGACGCAAACUGUUAAAAAGAUGAAAUGUUAAGGCUGCAUGUAGUAGCACAAGGAACUAUUGGGGCAGUAUCUGCUAAUGUUUAUGUAGACAAAAAAUAAAGAUUUAUGGUUUUGUUCUAAGAA